GGCCGGUCACGGUACUUGAGAGGGAGGCCUACUUCUCAGUACCUUUGAUGAUGAUGAGUUGUAGAUGUGGUACAUACAUGUUAAGAUCUUUGACUGCAGUCGUUUACUUAUGAUGUCAUGAUUAUGAAAACUGCAUGCACAGAUUCAUUUACGCUAACUUUAUUUCUGUGUAUUGCUGAGAUGUGGCAAGCUUCAAACAUAUAGCUCUAAGAGCACCUUUCUUGAUUUUCGGCGUUUGCCNUUUCUUAUCUCAUGAACCACUCACGUUGUGACAUCUGAAGAUACGAGCAGAGGACGGAGGUAAUAUCGCCCAAGUACUACGAGAGUAAGCUAAGUUUAUCAGGUGGGCAUUAUUUUGAGUAUACAUAUUAUACGAGCUUUCUUAAAUGAUAUGAUACUUAUGAUUAUGAAUUGAGUUAAUGUUACGCUUGAAACUAAUUGACUUGCCGAGUUUUGUUAAUAAUGACUUGUGUGUUACCCUCUACUGAUGAGACGAAUUCGGUCCUGCCACAAGCGGGAUUUUGUGCACAGAGGUGACUGUGAGCCGUCUAUCGGGUCGGCCGGUCACGGUACUUGAGAGGGAGGCCUACUUCUCAGUACCUUUGAUGAUGAGUAGUGGAUGUGGUACAUACUUAAUGAAUAUUUAAACUGCGCAGUUACUUUUUUGUGAUGUUUAUGAUUUGCGAAAUUGCAUGCACAGGUUCUUCUCUAACUAAAACCCAUGUGUGUUGCUUAAUGUGGCAAGUUCAAUUUAUAGCUCUAAGAGCAAGCUUUCUUUUGUUUUUCGGCAUAUGUCCACUGAGUACUUUGUACUCAGCCCUGCAUGUAUUUCUAAAUGUGCAGGAUAAGCGAGGAUGGAGAAUGGUCUGGUGCUGGCGAGGAUUUUGUUCCGAUGUUAUCCUUUUACCGUAUUUAUAUUACAUACGGUAGCUUUUUGAUGUUGAUGUUUAUAUUUUGGACUUAGUCAAGAAGUAUACUCUCGGCUAUAUGUCUUCAUACAUAUAGUCUGUACACGUUUUGCUGCGAGACUCUGUAAAUUAUAAACCUUUAUAAAUUUUUAACUAUUUUCGCUUUGUAAACUUUAUCGAGAAUCCCUGUACUUUUGAACUUACGAAGCCGAUAAUAUUU
RNAcentral lists this long non-coding RNA (1128 nucleotides) under Salvia miltiorrhiza (redroot sage). Its description in RNAcentral is "long non-coding RNA (SMIL_LNC006051)". The record is from RNAcentral. Lineage: Eukaryota; Viridiplantae; Streptophyta; Magnoliopsida; Lamiales; Lamiaceae.